AGGCUGAAAUUCGCCUUCAUGAAGCUGGAAUUGCUAGUAAUGGCAGGUCAGCAUACUGCCGUGAAUACGUUCCCGGGCCUUGUACACACCGCCCGUCACACCAUGAGAGUUGGAAAUACCCGAAGCCUGUGAGCUAACUGUAAAGAGGCAGCAGUCGAAGGUAGAGCCAAUGAUUGGGUAAAGUCGUAACAAGGUAGC
This 198-nucleotide ribosomal RNA is filed under the name uncultured bacterium. RNAcentral's name for it is "partial 16S ribosomal RNA". It matches the Rfam family "Bacterial small subunit ribosomal RNA", at positions 1302 to 1500 of the family's 1533-position model. The record is from RNAcentral.